This 604-nucleotide ribosomal RNA is filed under the name uncultured bacterium. RNAcentral describes it as "bacterial SSU rRNA". It matches the Rfam family "Bacterial small subunit ribosomal RNA", at positions 73 to 692 of the family's 1533-position model. The record is from RNAcentral.
GUUACCUUCGGGUAAUGAGGAUGGCGGACGGGUGAGUAACGCGUAAGGAACUUGCCUCUUGGACUGGGACAACUGUUGGAAACGACAGCUAAUACCAGAUAUUAUGAGAUUCUCGCAUGAGAAAUUUAUGAAAGCUAUAUGCGCCAAGAGAGAGCCUUGCGUUCCAUUAGCUAGUUGGUGGGGUAACGGCCCACCAAGGCGACGAUGGAUAGCCGGCCUGAGAGGGUGAACGGCCACAAGGGGACUGAGACACGGCCCUUACUCCUACGGGAGGCAGCAGUGGGGAAUAUUGGACAAUGGGCCACAAGCCUGAUCCAGCAAUUCUGUGUGCACGAUGAAGGUCUUCGGAUUGUAAAGUGCUUUCAGUUGGGAAGAAGAAAGUGACGGUACCAACAGAAGAAGCGACGGCUAAAUACGUGCCAGCAGCCGCGGUAAUACGUAUGUCGCAAGCGUUAUCCGGAUUUAUUGGGCGUAAAGCGCGUCUAGGGCGGAAAAAUAAGUCUGAUGUUAAAAUGCGGGGCUCAACUCCGUAUUGCGUUGGAAACUGUUUUUCUAGAGUACUGGAGAGGUGGGCGGAACUACAAGUGUAGAGGUGAAAUUCGUA